UACGGGGGGGGCAAGCGUUGUUCGGAAUUACUGGGCGUAAAGGGCUCGUAGGUGGCCAACUAAGUCAGACGUGAAAUCCCUCGGCUUAACCGGGGAACUGCGUCUGAUACUGGAUGGCUUGAGUUCGGGAGAGGGAUGCGGAAUGCCAGGUGUAGCGGUGAAAUGCGUAGAUAUCUGGAGGAACACCGGUGGCGAAGGCGGCAUCCUGGACCGACACUGACACUGAGGAGCGAAAGCCAGGGGAGCAAACGGG
This 253-nucleotide ribosomal RNA is filed under the name uncultured bacterium. Its description in RNAcentral is "partial 16S ribosomal RNA". It matches the Rfam family "Bacterial small subunit ribosomal RNA", at positions 524 to 776 of the family's 1533-position model. The record is from RNAcentral.